This 600-nucleotide long non-coding RNA is filed under the name Rattus norvegicus (Norway rat). RNAcentral describes it as "long non-coding RNA NONRATT028931". The record is from RNAcentral. Lineage: Eukaryota; Metazoa; Chordata; Mammalia; Rodentia; Muridae.
GUUUCUUUUGGGUCUCACUUCAUCAGUGUGCAUUGUGUCUGAAAUUAUAAAGAAGGUUGAAAGGAGCAGGGAAAAGACUCAGAAGAACGCUACUUCAACACCAUCGUCUUUUCUUGAAUUUUACCCCAAGAUUUAAUCAUCUUAGCUGUCCAGAACUCCUUUUGUUACUUGAACUACUAAUUGAAGAUUGACGUGUCCAAAGCCUCAGGUUUGAAAUCUCGGUAUGUUCCCAUCUGAACUAAUGCUUCCCACGGUGCUUACCAAGUUAGGUUUGGCUCUGGCAGAGGAGUGGACAGCAGCUGAUUGAGAUACAAGCCCAUCUGGAGACAGGACUGCCACUGACAGAAGACGUGGGCUGUGUCUAAAUCCAAUCUGGGACCCGGCCGCAUGGCUGCCUUCACCUGUUGUAAUUCUUCAUACAGCAUCUUGGCACCACCUCUCCGUGGAUCUUCACUAUCUACGUAAAACAACCCAAAGACAGCGUUUCCAGACACUGCAUCAGUUUGCCCUUCCCCACAUUCCAUCAUCAAAGCCACAAAGACAAUCAGUGUGAAAACUGGUCGCUUUUCUUUUCUGGUUUCAUAAAUGUCUUCCAUACAC